UUUUCUGGGGGACGAGUAAGGACGGUACCCCAGGAAUAAGUCUCGGCUAACUACGUGCCAGCAGCCGCGGUAAAACGUAGGAGGCGAGCGUUAUCCGGAUUUACUGGGCGUAAAGCGUACGCAGGUGGCUUCGUUAGUCGGACAUGAAAGCUCCUGGCUUAACUGGGAGAGGUUGUUCGAUACUGCGGGGCUUGAGGUUGGGAGAGGGACGUGGAAUUCCCGGUGUAGUGGUGGAAUGCGUAGAUAUCGGGAGGAACACCAGUGGCGCAAGCGGCGUCCUGGCCCACACCUGACGCUGAGGUACGAAAGCGUGGGUAGCAAACAGGAUUAGAUACCCUGGUAGUCCACGCUGUAAACGAUGUCAACUGGGUGUCGGUAGUUUUACACUAUCGGUGCCGAAGCCAACGCG
RNAcentral lists this ribosomal RNA (409 nucleotides) under uncultured bacterium. RNAcentral describes it as "bacterial SSU rRNA". It matches the Rfam family "Bacterial small subunit ribosomal RNA", at positions 434 to 859 of the family's 1533-position model. The record is from RNAcentral.